GACGAACGCUGGCGGCGUGCCUAAUACAUGCAAGUGGGACGCAAGGGAACACACUGUGCUUGCACACCGUGUUUUCUUGAGUCGCGAACGGGUGAGUAACGCGUAGGUAACCUGCCUAUUAGCGGGGGAUAACUAUUGGAAACGAUAGCUAAUACCGCAUAAUAUUAAUUAUUGCAUGAUAAUUGAUUGAAAGAUGCAAGCGCAUCACUAGUAGAUGGACCUGCGUUGUAUUAGCUAGUUGGUAAGGUAAGAGCUUACCAAGGCGACGAUACAUAGCCGACCUGAGAGGGUGAUCGGCCACACUGGGACUGAGACACGGCCCAGACUCCUACGGGAGGCAGCAGUAGGGAAUCUUCGGCAAUGGACGAAAGUCUGACCGAGCAACGCCGCGUGAGUGAAGAAGGUUUUCGGAUCGUAAAGCUCUGUUGUAAGUCAAGAAACGUGUGUGAGAGUGGAAAAGUUCACA
This 466-nucleotide ribosomal RNA is filed under the name Streptococcus mutans. RNAcentral describes it as "bacterial SSU rRNA". It matches the Rfam family "Bacterial small subunit ribosomal RNA", at positions 28 to 474 of the family's 1533-position model. Lineage: Bacteria; Bacillati; Bacillota; Bacilli; Lactobacillales; Streptococcaceae. The record is from RNAcentral.